This 533-nucleotide ribosomal RNA is filed under the name uncultured archaeon. RNAcentral's name for it is "bacterial SSU rRNA". It matches the Rfam family "Archaeal small subunit ribosomal RNA", at positions 343 to 879 of the family's 1478-position model. The record is from RNAcentral.
GAAAACUUCCCAUGGGAGAAAUCCCGAUGAGGGAAUUCCAAGUGCUAGCACUAUGUGUUAGCUGUUCUUUUGUCUAAAAAACAGAAGAAGUAAGGGCCGGGUAAGACGGGUGCCAGCCGCCGCGGUAAUACCCGCGGCCCGAGUGGUGGUCGAUAUUAUUGAGCCUAAAACGUCCGUAGCCGGUCUUGUAAAUCCUUGGGUAAAUCGGCCAGCUUAACUGUCCGAAGUCCGGGGAGACUGCAAGACUUGGGAUCGGGAGAGGUCAGAGGUACCUCUGGGGUAGGGGUAAAAUCCUGUAAUCCUGGAAGGACCACCGGUGGCGAAGGCGUCUGACUAGAACGAAUUCGACGGUGAGGGACGAAGCCCUGGGGCGCAAACGGGAUUAGAUACCCCGGUAGUCCAGGGUGUAAACGCUGCGGGCUUGGUGUUGGGGGUCCUUUGUGGGCGCCCAGUGCCGGAGAGAAGUUGUUAAGCCUGCUGCUUGGGGAGUACGUCCGCAAGGAUGAAACUUAAAGGAAUUGGCGGGGGAGCAC